This 253-nucleotide ribosomal RNA is filed under the name uncultured bacterium. RNAcentral describes it as "partial 16S ribosomal RNA". It matches the Rfam family "Bacterial small subunit ribosomal RNA", at positions 524 to 776 of the family's 1533-position model. The record is from RNAcentral.
UACGUAGGGUGCAAGCGUUGUCCGGAAUCAUUGGGCGUAGAGAGCUCGUAGGCGGUCUGUCGCGUCUGCUGUGAAAACCUGGGGCUUAACCCUGGGCUUGCAGUGGGUACGGGCAGACUAGAGUGCGGUAGGGGAGACUGGAAUUCCUGGUGUAGCGGUGAAAUGCGCAGAUAUCAGGAGGAACACCGGUGGCGAAGGCGGGUCUCUGGGCCGUAACUGACGCUGAGGAGCGAAAGCAUGGGUAGCGAACAGG